RNAcentral lists this ribosomal RNA (200 nucleotides) under uncultured eukaryote. RNAcentral describes it as "partial 18S ribosomal RNA". It matches the Rfam family "Eukaryotic small subunit ribosomal RNA", at positions 589 to 798 of the family's 1831-position model. The record is from RNAcentral.
CUCCAAUAGCGUAUAUUAAAGUUGUUGCGGUUAAAAAGCUCGUAGUUGGACUUCUGCAGGGGACGACCGGUCUACCACUGGGUUAGCAUCUGGCUCGGCUUGCAUUUUCAGGCACAGGCUGCUGCACUUGAUUGUGUGGUGCUUACGUCUGAACCUUUACCUUGAAUAAAACAGAGUGUUCAAAGCAGGCUUUCGCCUGA